This 871-nucleotide ribosomal RNA is filed under the name Kocuria palustris. RNAcentral describes it as "bacterial SSU rRNA". It matches the Rfam family "Bacterial small subunit ribosomal RNA", at positions 60 to 938 of the family's 1533-position model. The record is from RNAcentral. Lineage: Bacteria; Bacillati; Actinomycetota; Actinomycetes; Micrococcales; Micrococcaceae.
AGUCGAACGCUGAAGCACCAGCUUGCUGGUGUGGAUGAGUGGCGAACGGGUGAGUAAUACGUGAGUAACCUGCCCUUGACUCUGGGAUAAGCCCGGGAAACUGGGUCUAAUACUGGAUGCUACAUGUCACCGCAUGGUGGUGUGUGGAAAGGGUUUACUGGUCUUGGAUGGGCUCACGGCCUAUCAGCUUGUUGGUGAGGUAAUGGCUCACCAAGGCGACGACGGGUAGCCGGCCUGAGAGGGUGACCGGCCACACUGGGACUGAGACACGGCCCAGACUCCUACGGGAGGCAGCAGUGGGGAAUAUUGCACAAUGGGCGAAAGCCUGAUGCAGCGACGCCGCGUGAGGGAUGACGGCCUUCGGGUUGUAAACCUCUUUCAGCAGGGAAGAAGCCACAAGUGACGGUACCUGCAGAAGAAGCGCCGGCUAACUACGUGCCAGCAGCCGCGGUAAUACGUAGGGCGCAAGCGUUGUCCGGAAUUAUUGGGCGUAAAGAGCUCGUAGGCGGUUUGUCGCGUCUGCUGUGAAAGCCCGGGGCUUAACCCCGGGUGUGCAGUGGGUACGGGCAGACUAGAGUGCAGUAGGGGAGACUGGAAUUCCUGGUGUAGCGGUGGAAUGCGCAGAUAUCAGGAGGAACACCGAUGGCGAAGGCAGGUCUCUGGGCUGUUACUGACGCUGAGGAGCGAAAGCAUGGGGAGCGAACAGGAUUAGAUACCCUGGUAGUCCAUGCCGUAAACGUUGGGCACUAGGUGUGGGGGACAUUCCACGUUUUCCGCGCCGUAGCUAACGCAUUAAGUGCCCCGCCUGGGGAGUACGGCCGCAAGGCUAAAACUCCAAGGAAUUGACGGGGGCCCGCACAAGCGGCGGAGC